Molecule: long non-coding RNA, 1549 nt
Filed under: Homo sapiens (human)
Lineage: Eukaryota; Metazoa; Chordata; Mammalia; Primates; Hominidae
Description: HSALNT0090895
Source: RNAcentral
CAGUAAUGCUGUCUGAUUCUGAGCCUAGUAAUCGAGAGGCCUGAACACUUCUACUUACUCUCAUGGAACACUGCCACUGCUAUAUAAAACAAGCCCAGCCUAUCCUGGCCAGACAGAUGGCUGAUUAGCAACAUCGGAUGCCAGUUCUUCUCAGAAAGAUUAAAGUUACAGGUGAAUGGAAUUAUCUGAAUAGAAUACUGAUGGAAGAAAGGCCCUGUUGUAAUGCCCGCAGGAAGAAGCUAGGCAUCAGAAAAGGAAAGCAGCAAGAGUCUGGCAGAGAUGGAGCCCCGAGGAACUUGAAGUCCCAUGGAAAGGGUACAUGGGUGUGGCGGCUUCUCUGAUGCCCUCACCCCUGCAACAAUCUGCUGACCCCCAAAGUGUUGGGAAGCCCCUCUACUUUUGAAACCCUGGGCAAAACUGUUGGCGGUGACUUGGGAACUUCCCUAGGACAGAGGACCAGGUGACUAUCAUGCACAAGGCACCUGUACUUCCCUCAGGCCUGAAUUGAGAUGAUGGGCACCAUACUGGUUGUGUACCCUGGGUGGUUACUGCCCUGCUAUUAUUAAAAAGUCAGCAUUGACAGAUUUUGGCAAAAAUGUGGAGAAAAGGGAAUGCUUAUAUACUGUCAGCAGGAAUGUAAAUUAGUACAACCCCUGUGGAAAACAGUAUGAGGAUUUCUCAAAUAACUAAAAAUAGAACUACUAUUCAACCUCACAAUCCCAUUACUAGGUAUCUACCCAAAGAAAAAGAAACCAUUUUAUCAAAAAGACAUUUUCAUUCAUAUUUUUAUUGCAGCACCAUUCACAAUAGCAAAGACAUGAAAUCAACCUGAGUGUCCAUCAACAACUGACUGUAUGAAGAAAAUGUGUUUCAUAUACACUGUGGCAUACUAUGCAGCCAUAAAAAAAGAAUGAAGUCAUGUCCUUUACAGCAACGUGGAUGAAGCUGGAGGCCAUUAUUCUAAGUGAAAUAACUCAAAAUCAGAAAAUCACAUACCACAUGGUUUCACUUAUAAGUGGGGGCUAUACAAUGGGUACUCAUGGACAUAGGAAGUAAAAUAAUAAACACUUGGGGACUCCAAGAGAGGGGUAGGUGGGAGGGGGUGAGGGUUGAGAAACUACCUAUGUUCUAAGUCCCUAAACACCAUGUUCAUUAUUUGGUUAAUGGGUUCACUAGAAGCCCAAACCUCAGCGUUAUGCAAUACGCUGAUGUAAUGAAGCUGCACAAGUACAUGCUGAAUCGAAAAUAAAAAUGAAAAAGAAACUACUUCCAAUGAAAAAAAUAAAGAGGAUCUUCAUGAAAAUAAGAUAAUCAAAUUUCUGUUUCCACCCAGAACAUAUGAAUUCUUCCAGUGCAUAUUUAUUCUGCAAAAUUUGCUACAUGUCCCUUUCCACUGACUCCUGCUCAUUCUUCAGGUCUCAAAAUAGUUAUCACUCCCAAAGGAAACCUUCCCUAGGGUGCCCCUCUAAGAACAGGCUGCAUUUCUACCAUGGAAUUUCAUGCAUCUUAAGUCAAUUGCGUCUUUCUUUAACCGAAAAGACUGCAGAAG